GAAAAGAAGCGUUUGUGUCAAUCUGUGUCGCAGAGAAGUGUUGGCACAUCCUUCGGUUAACGACUUUCACACGUAUCUGCAGGCAGCAAAGGAAACGCUCAGGGUUCCUGGAGUUGUCAAGCCUGUGAGCUGUUGAGAUUUGACCCCCCCUGCUCCAACUCCUAGAGGACGCUUUCAUAUGCAAAUGACAAUGCUCUGAGCUUCACAAAUGCAAAUCAGUUUCCCUGAGAGCAGAUAACACCAAUGUGUAAGAGGCACCAACAAACUAUCUGGCUGAGUAAACCAGGCUUAAAAUAAAUAUUAAACCUGAAAUUUUAAAUUGUUCUUAAGUAAGUAAGUGUGCUAUAAUGAAUUAUAUUGUAUACCACGAACAAAGGUCAAUGCAGUCAAAAGAAAUGAAACAAUGCACUUUAUUUCAAAUUUUUAUUGUCAUCCAAAACAAUCCUAAAUCUCAACAACUGUAUAGAGUGGCAUGAUUACAGUCACUUUUUCAAUUGUGCUGGUUAAAUGCACAGAGGAAGUGUAAACCACACCUCUACCAGCAAAUAAAUGAUGCUGGGUAUGAUCAUCUGUGUCCUGUAAGCUCCAAACUUCUACUGGCUUUCCAUAAAAAUAUCUGUCCUCCCAAAAUACUGGCAUCAAAUUCACAUGUCAAUGGCAAACUAAGCUGUUCCAUGAAUUAUAAAUGGUACCUUUUCACCACUACUUUCAAAAUUGCUAUGAAACAUUCAUUGAUUUAAUGAUUUAUUUUUUCAGUGUAAUAUUUAAUCCCCCAUGGACUGCACAGUGACAAAACACAGCAGCCGGCUGUUUGGAUACAACAUACAUCUCCACUCAGUUUGAUUAUUAUUUUAAAUAUAAAGGAGACACAAUAUAGAGCUUAAAUUCCUUCAUAAUUUGAACUUCAAUUGUCUAAUUGUUGUUAUUAAACUUUCUCAGUAUUCCAUUAAAACAGUCAACACUUUUAUCCAAAGCGACUUACAAUAAGUGCAUUCAACUAUAAGGUUACGAACACAGAACAGCAUGAGUGAAUCAUGUGUGUAAAUUUACUAAACACCACAAAAAAUAAACCUGGCCUCAGUCAAAUACUUAUCCCAUGAAGUAACCGCUGCUCACGUCACCCGCUCGCGUCAUCAGCUGAUGGACUCGUCCAAUCAGAGCCUCGUAAACGCCGUGCAGCAGCGUCGAGUGUCCCGCAGACAGGAAGCGGGUCGUGUUUAGCUUGUCCCGUACGAGUGACUCUGUCUUCGGGGUAAAUAACUUGCUGAAGUCGACACGACGCUGUUCCCUGGAGGAGAAGAUGAGUGCGUGUGGAGGCAGAGCCGUGGGCCCGGUGUGGACGAGUCGAGGCGGAGAAGACGGAAGCACAGUCCCUGAGUUACGGUGAGCUAGAGACGCCAUGCUAACCACUAAGCUAACUGGUACAUCUGAAAGCAUGUCCGCCACUCUUUGGGAUAGCGAGAAAGUUGCUAAAAUACGAAUACAGCAUCGAGUGCUGGAGCAGAUCUAGUGCAUGUGUAAAUAUGUAUGAAUUACUUAGAUGUAACAGUUUGUUCUCGUUAAGUUUUUUCAUCAACGUGACUUUUUUCUGUAUGUUUUCACAGCCUCAGCCCCCCCCCCCCACACACACACAAACAAAGAGGCGUUAGGCUGAGACGCUGAAAGUCCGGAUUUAAAGUGCAGAAAAUUAAGCCAUUGAAUCUGCCUGUCCAUGACGUACAAAGACACACUAUGAGCCAGUAUGAUCCGACCAGACCUUACAUCAGCAUUGAGGAGUUGUCGGAGAAGAAAGAAGCUGAUUGAAGCGGGACAGAUGACAUGGAUCCAUCCUUCCACAGCCAGGAGUGCACCGAC
Long non-coding RNA from Limanda limanda (common dab), 1854 nucleotides. RefSeq lists it as uncharacterized. The transcript is spliced from 3 exons. The record is from RefSeq and is a predicted model, not a curated record. NCBI's taxonomy places the organism in Eukaryota, Metazoa, Chordata, Actinopteri, Pleuronectiformes, Pleuronectidae.